This 350-nucleotide ribosomal RNA is filed under the name uncultured archaeon. RNAcentral describes it as "bacterial SSU rRNA". It matches the Rfam family "Archaeal small subunit ribosomal RNA", at positions 210 to 560 of the family's 1478-position model. The record is from RNAcentral.
UGAGUCUGCGGACUAUCAGGUUGUAGUCAGGGUAAAGACCUGACUAGCCUACGACGGAUACGGGUUGUGAGAGCAAUAACCCGGAGAUGAUAUCUGAGACACGAUAUCAGGCCCUGCGGGGCGCAGCAGGCGCGAAAACUUCACACUGCGCGAAAGCGCGAUGAGGGAAUCCCAAGUGCUUGCACGUAAGUGUAAGCUGUUUCUUUGUCUAAAAAGCAUAGAGAGUAAGAGCUGGGUAAGACGGGUGCCAGCCGCCGCGGUAAUACCUGCAGCUCAAGUGGUGAUCGUUAUUAUUGGGCCUAAAACGUCCGUAGCCGGUUUAUUAAAUGCCUGGGUAAAUCGGGCCGCUU